Molecule: long non-coding RNA, 318 nt
Organism: Gasterosteus aculeatus aculeatus (three-spined stickleback)
Lineage: Eukaryota; Metazoa; Chordata; Actinopteri; Perciformes; Gasterosteidae
Source: Ensembl
UCGUGAAACAACUCAAUGAUAAAAACAGCACGGAAUUCAGACAACUCGAGGCAACAGUUGUGACUGCGUGUGAUUCAAUCUACUCGACCAGAUUCGGCGUCCUUUUCAUCCGGACCUUUGUCAUUGUGUUCAGACAAGCUCAGGCGGCAGGACAAAUGUCUAAUACGGAAGUAGAAGUCGGCAUUGAGUUCAAUCAAACUGCUUCGGUUGCUGAAAUCCCACGGGCUGAAGACGUUGCAAAGACCUUAGUGGACGCUGUGAAUAACCCCAACAGCACCUUCAACCUCUCUAUUGAUGCCGCUUCUGUCGCUGUAAUUC